ACGAACGCUGGCGGCAGGCCUAACACAUGCAAGUCGAACGUUCCGCAAGGGACGUGGCAGACGGGUGCAAAACGCGUGGGAAUUUACCCUAUACUUCGGAAUAACCCAGGGAAACUUGGGGUAAUACCGGAUACGCCCUUCGGGGGAAAGAUUUAUCGGUAUUGGAGAAGCCCGCGUCUGAUUAGCUAGUUGGUGAGGUAAUGGCUCACCAAGGCGACGAUCAGUAGCUGGUCUUAGAGGACGAUCAGCCACACUGGAACUGAGACACGGUCCAGACUCCUACGGGAGGCAGCAGUGGGGAAUAUUGGACAAUGGGGGAAACCCUGAUCCAGCCAUGCCGCGUGAGUGAUGAAGGCCUUCGGGUUGUAAAGCUCUUUUAGCAGGGACGAUGAUGACGGUACCUGCAGAAUAAGCCACGGCUAACUUCGU
RNAcentral lists this ribosomal RNA (429 nucleotides) under uncultured bacterium. Its description in RNAcentral is "bacterial SSU rRNA". It matches the Rfam family "Bacterial small subunit ribosomal RNA", at positions 29 to 506 of the family's 1533-position model. The record is from RNAcentral.